Non-coding RNA from Aedes aegypti (yellow fever mosquito), 72 nucleotides. NCBI's taxonomy places the organism in Eukaryota, Metazoa, Arthropoda, Insecta, Diptera, Culicidae. The record is from Rfam.
GGCUCGGUAGCUUAGUUGGUAAAGUGCUCGUCUUGCAUACAAGAGUCCUGGGUUCAUAUUCCAGCCGAGCAA